GGCCUCUCCUGUGGCUCACCACAGACUCUGUUCUUACGCUGACCAUACAGACAGAGGGGGCAGAGUAACCCACCCCUAUAUACCCCAGCCCAUGCCAUUUGACUGGUCCAUGUUGUAAAUGGGGGACAUGG
Molossus molossus (Pallas's mastiff bat) is the source of this 131-nucleotide small nucleolar RNA. RefSeq annotates it as small nucleolar RNA SNORA51. Lineage: Eukaryota; Metazoa; Chordata; Mammalia; Chiroptera; Molossidae. The record is from RefSeq and is a predicted model, not a curated record. The transcript has a single exon.